Molecule: ribosomal RNA, 1357 nt
Filed under: uncultured organism
Description: 16S ribosomal RNA
Rfam family: Bacterial small subunit ribosomal RNA
Source: RNAcentral
CUAAAGCAUGCAAGUCGAACGCUUCCUUCGGGAAGAGUGGCGAACGGGCGAGUAACGCGUUCCUAACGUGCCCCAAGGCAGGGGAUAGCUGGGGGAAACCCAGGUAAUACCCGAUGACCCGGCGAGUCGCAUGGCUGGUCGGAAAAGUUCCGGCGCCUUGGGAUCGGGGAACGUCCUAUCAGGUUGUUGGUGGGGUAAUGGCCUACCAAGCCAGAGACGGGUAGCGGGUGUGAGAGCACGACCCGCCGCAUCGGGACUGAGACACUGCCCGGACUCCUACGGGAGGCUGCAGCAACGAAUCUUCCGCAAUGGGCGAAAGCCUGACGGAGCAAUGCCGUGUGCGGGAUAAGCCCUAUGGGGUGUAAACCGCUGUCAGGGGAAAGAAAUUCUGAUCUACCCCAGAGGAAGGGCCGGCUAACUUCGUGCCAGCAGCCGCGGUAAUACGAAGGGCCCGAGCGUUAAUCGGAAUCACUGGGCUUAAAGAGCGUGUAGGCGGACAUGUAAGUGCUUUGUGAAAUCCCACAGCUCAACUGUGGAACUGCUCGGCAAACUACAUGUCUUGAGGUCGGUAGGGGUCACUGGAACUGUAGGUGGAGCGGUGAAAUGCGUAGAUAUCUACAGGAACGCCAAUGGUGAAGACAGGUGACUGGGCCGGUCCUGACGCUGAGACGCGAAAGCGUGGGGAGCAAACGGGAUUAGAUACCCCGGUAGUCCACGCCGUAAACGAUGUGCACUGGGUCGCGAGGUUCCACAACAGCGCGGCCGAAGCUAAAGUAUUAAGUGCACCGCCUGGGGAGUACGGUCGCAAGGCUAAAACUCAAAGGAAUUGACGGGGGCUCACACAAGCGGUGGAACAUGUGGCUUAAUUCGAAGCAACGCGAAGAACCUUAUCCUAGGCUUGACAUGUACGGAUUAGCUUCCUGAAAGGGAAGUGACGCUCUUUGAGUGGAACGUACACAGGUGCUGCAUGGCUGUCGUCAGCUCGUGCUGUGAAGUGUCGGGUUAAGUCCCUUAACGAGCGAAACCCCUGUCGCUAGUUGCCAGCGGUCCGGCCGGGGACUCUAGCGAGACUGCCGGUGUCAAACCGGAGGAAGGUGGGGACGACGUCAAGUCAUCAUGGCCUUUAUGCCUAGGGCUGCACACGUGUUACAAUGGCGGGUACAAAGGGCGGCGAUACCGCAAGGUGGAGCAAAUCCCAAAAAGCCCGCCCCAGUUCAGAUCGGGGUCUGCAACUCGACCCCGUGAAGGUGGAAUCGCUAGUAAUCGCGUAUCAGCAUGACGCGGUGAUACGUUCCUGAGCCUUGUACACACCGCCCGUCAAGUCAUGGAAGCUGGGAGCACCCGAAGUCGCUACGCU